GUACUCACUUUGGCAGCACAUAUACUUUAAAAAAUUGGAACAAUACGGAGAAGGUUAGCAUGGCCCUUGCACAAGGAUGACAUGCAAAUUCAUGAAGUGUUCCAUAUUUUU
Molecule: small nuclear RNA, 111 nt
Organism: Marmota marmota marmota (Alpine marmot)
Lineage: Eukaryota; Metazoa; Chordata; Mammalia; Rodentia; Sciuridae
Source: Ensembl